CUGUCUUCCAAUCAUUCUCUUAUCACCUAAGCUAUCUGACCUGAGACAAAUGUUUAAUUUUUUGGCAUAUUCCUCU
Long non-coding RNA from Etheostoma spectabile (orangethroat darter), 76 nucleotides. RefSeq lists it as uncharacterized. Lineage: Eukaryota; Metazoa; Chordata; Actinopteri; Perciformes; Percidae. The transcript has 3 exons. The record is from RefSeq and is a predicted model, not a curated record.